This 106-nucleotide unclassified non-coding RNA is filed under the name soil metagenome. RNAcentral's name for it is "partial internal transcribed spacer 1". The record is from RNAcentral.
GUGAACGCCCUCACGGGCUUAUACUACUCCAAACCUCUGUGAACCGUGCCCUUCGGGGCUAUUUUACAAACAUGGUGUAAUGAACGUCAUAUAUCAUAACAAAACA